This 437-nucleotide long non-coding RNA is filed under the name Phasianus colchicus (ring-necked pheasant). RNAcentral's name for it is "lncRNA (ENSPCLG00000018872.1)". The record is from RNAcentral. Lineage: Eukaryota; Metazoa; Chordata; Aves; Galliformes; Phasianidae.
UUCCCCAUUAUUUCCCAUAAUUCCCCAUUAUUUCCCAUAAUUCCCCAUUUCCCCAUUAUUCCCAUUAUCCCCAUUAUUCCCAUAAUUCCCUAUUAUUUCCCAUUAUUCCCCAUUAUUUCCCAUAAUUCCCAUAAUUCCCAUUAUUCCCCAUUAUUCUCAUUAUUCCCCGUUAUAUCCCAUAAUUCCCAUUAUUCCGCAUUAUUCCCAUUAUUCCCCAUUGUUUCCCAUUAUCCCCAUUAUUUCCCAUUAUUCCCCAUUAUUCCCAUUAUCCCCGUAAUUCCCAUAUUCCCCAUUAUUUCCCAUUAUCCUCAUUAUUCCCAUUGUCCCCAUUUUCCCCAUUAUAUUCCCAUUAUUCCCCGUAAUUCCCAUAAUUCCCAUUGUUCCCCAUUGUUCCCCAUUUCCCCAUUACCCCCAUUAUCCCCAUCAACCCCAUAAUU